This 252-nucleotide long non-coding RNA is filed under the name Elaeis guineensis (African oil palm). RNAcentral's name for it is "long non-coding RNA (EGUI_LNC006355)". Lineage: Eukaryota; Viridiplantae; Streptophyta; Magnoliopsida; Arecales; Arecaceae. The record is from RNAcentral.
CCAAUUUCACCCAAAUCGAUUCAUUCUACUUCAGAUUUCAAGUCCUGCGGUAACAGAUUGACGCUAGAAAGAGGACUGUAAUUUCUUUUAUGAGAAAGAUGGUCAAGGCAAGGGCUUAGCAUCCUUCUCCCUCUGCUCCAAAAAGAGUACUAAAGGCACCACUGCAACAGUCAAUUAUUGUUGAUCCUCAGUAAUUCAGCUUCCUCGUUCAGCAAGUCUAAGCCCUGACAGCAACUGUUCAAUAGCUUCAAA